CGGCAGUACCACAACAAAGCGCGCAUCACCUUUGACAUCUGUCAGCCAAAGACAAACCAACAUCUCCGGAGAUGUGUCCGGCGGAGGACAGAGGAAGAGCAUGCAUCGGACGACAACUACGUCGUCUGGCCUCAUCUCCACCAGCCCAUUGUCACUCCAAACACUUGAAUGGCAAUUCUGAGUUUGACGUCGUUAAAACUGAAUGAAACCGAGAAGGGAAGGAAUUGGGUUUUCCCCCCUUGCUGUCCUCAAACAACUUUAUCUUCACUGACUCAUGGACCUGAAUCCACCUCCACCAUAUCACCUUUUCAUGCGGUUGACACUGUUGUUCUUGUAAUACACUGCUCUGUUCUCCUAAAAUGGAAGGAAAUGUAUGUAGGUCAAACCAUUAUGGUCAUCCAGGAUACAAUCUGUGAAAGUGAAAGUCCCCGACAUUUCAGUGAUCUCAAUAGAGAGCUGGAUUAGCCGGAAUAUACAUACAUACAAACAUAUGCACAGAUAGAUAGAAAGAGAUAGAUAGAUAGAUUGCGAAGGUUAGUGAUAGGCCAUUGAAUGGGCUGAAACCUCUGUGAGGGCCCACAGGGUCAGAUCAAUUGGUAGCUCCCUAUCCAGAGCUGAGUUCAGGACAGGAAAUAUGAAAUAUGUUGCAAUGUGUAUGCUUCUCCAUCAUGACACCCUAAAUAUACAACAGCGACUUUCCCUGAGUGGAUUUUAUUUCUGAAAAGAAAGAUCUCUUCAUUUGUAACAUUCCAUACUUACUUUCUGAACUAAAAGGGACAAAAUAAGUAAGGUUUACAGUUUCAAGCUACCACAUAUUCACUGCGUACAGAUAUUUUUCUUUUGCAUCUUUAUUUGAGGUGAGCUGAUAAUCCACCAGGCGUUAUGCAGUCUAUGCUGUCAUCUUGUGAUGAGGAAGCUGAGCAUUGGGCCAAUCGGCAAAAACCAC
Acanthopagrus latus (yellowfin seabream) is the source of this 946-nucleotide long non-coding RNA. RefSeq lists it as uncharacterized. The record is from RefSeq and is a predicted model, not a curated record. Lineage: Eukaryota; Metazoa; Chordata; Actinopteri; Spariformes; Sparidae. The transcript has 3 exons.